Molecule: non-coding RNA, 268 nt
Organism: Xyrichtys novacula (pearly razorfish)
Lineage: Eukaryota; Metazoa; Chordata; Actinopteri; Labriformes; Labridae
Source: the annotation of a GenBank genome assembly
ACUUGAGUUCGUGUUGUUUUUGAACAUGAGUUUGUGGUGUGUUUGAACUUGAGUUUGUGUCGUGUUUUUGAACUUGAGUUUAUUUUUGGAUUUGAAAUUGAGUUUGUGGUGUUUGCUGAACUUAAGUUUGUGUUGUAUUUGAACUGAAGUAUGUGGUGUUUUUGAACUUGAGUCAGUAUUGUUUUUGAACUUGAGGUUUUGGUGUGUUUGAACUUGAUUUUGUGUGUUUGUUGAACUUGAGUUUGUGGUCUUUUUGAACUUGAGUUUC